This 479-nucleotide ribosomal RNA is filed under the name uncultured organism. Its description in RNAcentral is "partial 16S ribosomal RNA". It matches the Rfam family "Bacterial small subunit ribosomal RNA", at positions 331 to 801 of the family's 1533-position model. The record is from RNAcentral.
GUACACUCCUACGGGAGGCAGCAGUGGGGAAUAUCGCACAAUGGGCGCAAGCCUGAUGCAGCCAUGCCGCGUGUAUGAAGAAGGCCUUCGGGUUGUAACGUACUUUCAGCGGGGAGGAAGGCGAUAAGGUUAAUAACCUUGUCGAUUGACGUUACCCGCAGAAGAAGCACCGGCUAACUCCGUGCCAGCGGCCGCGGUAAUACGGAGGGUGCAAGCGUUAAUCGGAAUUACUGGGCGUAAAGCGCACGCAGGCGGUCUGUCAAGUCGGAUGUGAAAUCCCCGGGCUCAACCUGGGAACUGCAUUCGAAACUGGCAGGCUAGAGUCUUGUAGAGGGGGGUAGAAUUCCAGGUGUAGCGGUGAAAUGCGUAGAGAUCUGGAGGAAUACCGGUGGCGAAGGCGGCCCCCUGGACAAAGACUGACGCUCAGGUGCGAAAGCGUGGGGAGCAAACAGGAUUAGAAACCCCAGUAGUCCCAUGAU